CGGACGGGUGAGUAACGCGUGGGUAACCUGCCUUGUACUGGGGGACAACAGUUAGAAAUGACUGCUAAUACCGCAUAAGCGCACAGUAUCGCAUGACACAGUGUGAAAAACUCCGGUGGUACAAGAUGGACCCGCGUCUGAUUAGCUAGUUGGUAAGGUAACGGCUUACCAAGGCGACGAUCAGUAGCCGACCUGAGAGGGUGACCGGCCACAUUGGGACUGAGACACGGCCCAA
This 235-nucleotide ribosomal RNA is filed under the name uncultured bacterium. RNAcentral describes it as "partial 16S ribosomal RNA". It matches the Rfam family "Bacterial small subunit ribosomal RNA", at positions 99 to 334 of the family's 1533-position model. The record is from RNAcentral.